Molecule: long non-coding RNA, 558 nt
Filed under: Pan troglodytes (chimpanzee)
Lineage: Eukaryota; Metazoa; Chordata; Mammalia; Primates; Hominidae
Description: lincRNA
Source: RNAcentral
CUCUCUCCGCCACGCCCCGGCACCGGGUAGACACCGCAGCCACGUAACCAAGGAACCCCGAGUGAGGCGUUGGCCAGAUCACUAAAAAGCUUCUCCUUGAAAAAUACUCAUAAGAUGCAACACACACACACACGUGUGUGCACUUACACACGCGGACACCGUCUCACAUCAUCAGUGGGAAAAGUGAUAGAAUCUUGCUAAAGGCUGAUCAUACCAUAUUAAUCCGAUUCGCCAGAACUACUUUCUUCACUGAGCUCUCAGCCUGCUCCCAACCAGGUAUCUCCAGAACUUUUUCUCUCCGCCACCAACUCCGCCUCCAGACAGACCGCAGGUGCUUUCUGUCAUAGGGACUGGCGUGCCGCGGACAGUGUGACAAAGAAACUGCAUGAUGGAUAUGAGAAAUUCGUAAGACCCAGCAGCAAACGGGGAGCGGCUGGCGAGCGCUCCACAGCCCCCAAGUGUGGGAGCUCUAGAUCGGAAUUUGUAAUUUGGAAUUGGAACGUGAGCGCCGGAACAGCUCUCCCAGCAACCACCUCUCCCAGCAACCACCUCAGCUGG